UACAGAGGGUGCAAGCGUUAAUCGGAAUUACUGGGCGUAAAGCGUGCGUAGACGGUUAUGUAAGUCAGGUGUGAAAGCCCCGGACUCAACCUGGGAAUUGCAUUUGAGACUGCAUAGCUAGGGUGCGGAAGAGGGAAGCGGAAUUUCCGGUGUAGCGGUGAAAUGCGUAGAUAUCGGAAGGAACAUCAGUGGCGAAAGCGACUUCCUGGACCAGUACCGACGUUCAGGCACGAAAGCGUGGGGAGCAAACAGG
RNAcentral lists this ribosomal RNA (253 nucleotides) under uncultured bacterium. Its description in RNAcentral is "partial 16S ribosomal RNA". It matches the Rfam family "Bacterial small subunit ribosomal RNA", at positions 524 to 776 of the family's 1533-position model. The record is from RNAcentral.